UACGGGGGGGCAAGCGUUGUUCGGAAUUACUGGGCGUAAAGGGCUCGUAGGCGGCCAACUAAGUCGGAUGUGAAAUCCCCAGGCUUAACCUGGGAACUGCAUCCGAUACUGGAUGGCUAGAGUCUGGUAGGGGGAUCUGGAAUUCCUGGUGUAGCGGUGGAAUGCGCAGAUAUCAGGAGGAACACCGGUGGCGAAGGCGGGAUCCUGGCCAGUACUGACGCUGAGGAGCGAAAGCGUGGGGGAGCAACAGG
Molecule: ribosomal RNA, 251 nt
Filed under: uncultured bacterium
Lineage: Bacteria
Description: partial 16S ribosomal RNA
Rfam family: Bacterial small subunit ribosomal RNA
Source: RNAcentral